GUGGGGAAUAUUGGACAAUGGGCGAAAGCCUGAUCCAGCCAUGCCGCGUGUGUGAAGAAGGUCUUCGGAUUGUAAAGCACUUUAAGUUGGGAGGAAGGGCAGUAAGUUAAUACCUUGCUGUUUUGACGUUACCGACAGAAUAAGCACCGGCUAACUUCGUGCCAGCAGCCGCGGUAAUACGAAGGGUGCAAGCGUUAAUCGGAAUUACUGGGCGUAAAGCGCGCGUAGGUGGUUUUGUAAGUUGGAGGUGAAAUCCCCAGGCUCAACCUGGGAACUGCCUCCAAAACUGCAUGACUAGAGUACGGUAGAGGGUAGUGGAAUUUCCUGUGUAGCGGUGAAAUGCGUAGAUAUAGGAAGGAACACCAGUGGCGAAGGCGACUACCUGGACUGAUACUGACACUGAGGUGCGAAAGCGUGGGGAGCAAACAGGAUUAGAUACCCCUGUAGUCC
RNAcentral lists this ribosomal RNA (450 nucleotides) under uncultured bacterium. RNAcentral describes it as "partial 16S ribosomal RNA". It matches the Rfam family "Bacterial small subunit ribosomal RNA", at positions 354 to 796 of the family's 1533-position model. The record is from RNAcentral.